This 442-nucleotide ribosomal RNA is filed under the name uncultured bacterium. RNAcentral describes it as "bacterial SSU rRNA". It matches the Rfam family "Bacterial small subunit ribosomal RNA", at positions 338 to 795 of the family's 1533-position model. The record is from RNAcentral.
CCUACGGGGGGCUGCAGUAGGGAAUAUUCCACAAUGGGCGAAAGCCUGAUGGAGCAACGCCGCGUGCAGGAUGAAGGCCUUCGGGUCGUAAACUGCUUUUAUAUGUGAAGAAUAUGACGGUAGCAUAUGAAUAAGCCUCGGCUAACUCCGUGCCAGCAGCCGCGGUCAUACGGAGGAGGCGAGCGUUAUCCGGAUUUACUGGGCGUAAAGAGUUGCGUAGGCGGUUUUGUAAGCGAAUAGUGAAAUCAUGUGGCUCAACCAUACUGACUAUUAUUCGAACUGCAGAACUUGAGAACGAGAGGGGUGAUUGGAAUUCCCGGUGUAGGAGUGAAAUCCGUAGAUAUCGGGAGGAACACCAAUGGCGUAGGCAGAUCACUGGCUCGUUUCUGACGCUAAGGCACGAAAGCGUGGGUAGCAAACGGGCUUAGAUACCCGAGUAGUC